Molecule: long non-coding RNA, 1281 nt
Organism: Branchiostoma floridae (Florida lancelet)
Lineage: Eukaryota; Metazoa; Chordata; Leptocardii; Amphioxiformes; Branchiostomatidae
Exons: 3
Source: RefSeq, a predicted model, not a curated record
AGUGUCAUUCCCGAUCAUUGAAUGUCCAAGGGGGACAGAAAUAGGGUUUGAACUGAGUUAUUUCCUGGCGAAGUGGUUCAAUCCCUAUGUUCCGAAAUCCCAGGAAACUCAAUGUGAAUGGUUCCUGUAUUAAAUGCAUGUUCCAACACAAACAAGGCAGCGGGGAGGUAUAGCGAUGGUUGGCAAAUACACACCCUUUGGCCGGCUAUACUUCCUGGCCAGUUUUGCACCGUAGGAUCUGCUUGGAGAUAACCAUUUACAUUGGGUUUCCUGGGACUUCGUAUAAACACGGGGACUUCCCUUCGGAACAUAAGGCGGUCAAAUUCAGGAUGUGACUCACUACGCAAGGUUCGUCAUCCUUGUCAGGGAGGAUCUAGAAGUAGGACCACAGCGACCAAACCAACAUUCAAGAACAACAGGUGAUUCGACUCUUCAUGGCGAGGAGACAUGUGACUGCGGAGGCGCUUGCAACUGUCACACUUUCACGUCAAACAAAGAGGAGAACUGUUAUCUUCCAGUGGGUCGCAUCAAAGAUGCUAUUCGAUCAAAACGUGCGAUCGCUGACGAUGUGCCGUCUUGAGUGCCGUUCAAAAGGAACCUUUUGCAUGGACCGAGACCCCGUGCAGCAAGAUUCUCCAACACGUCACCUACACGCUUUGAAUCCUCCCCACUACGACCGAUGCCCCGUUCUCGCACACUGUCUAAACCGUGCACAUUGCAAGCUUUAUAUUACGUCAAGUACAUGUGAUUUCGGUUUGACUACAUUUUUCCACGAACAAUACAUUCAAUGGCUUAAUCAUAUUGUGCUAGAGUACUGCCAUAUGAUAUUUGUAGCACCAUAAUUCUUGAAAUGUGUAAUCCCAGAUGUAGUGAAGUUGUGAUGCCACAUUUUGCCAGUAGUCUCUGAUUGUUAUUUCUCUCGUGUCCAUGUUUGACCACUGAGUUUAUACCGCAAACGUUUACAUGUUUACACAUCGAAUUGUAUCGAGCACAAGCUGAACUUGAAUCGUUUGAUAAGGGCCAUGUAGAUUUAAAACUUGUAAUUAGAGCUAUCAGUAACAAACGAAUAGCUUGAAAUACUUUGCUGACAAAUGUGCAACAAGGCAUUGCUAAAAUACAACCGUAUUUACAUAUAUACAAGUAUAAUCAAGCUAAAUAUGAACUGUAAAGGGUCCAUCCCUCUGUAGAUUGCACCAUUUGUAUUGUAACCAGUAGUUUUACGUCUUCAGUUGUAUAGUUUUGCCUUUUUCCUUGCCAAUCAAUACACCUAAUUGCAAUGGA